Molecule: long non-coding RNA, 23484 nt
Filed under: Sorghum bicolor (sorghum)
Lineage: Eukaryota; Viridiplantae; Streptophyta; Magnoliopsida; Poales; Poaceae
Description: long non-coding RNA (SBIC_LNC008606)
Source: RNAcentral
CUCUGAGUUAGAAUAAACUGUUAAGACUUAAAACUUACUUACUUUACCUACACCAUAGGACUUGUAACCGUCACUUCUGUCUUGAGUGGUUAAAAGAUAGAACAGUCUAGCCAAGUGCCAUGUCUCUUAUUCUUGAUCAGCUAUAGCUCUGGGGUUUUUGCAGAUUUUCAAAUAAAACUCAGAAAUUCCUUGUAUGAUUCUCUCAGGUCUCUCUUUUGUGGUAUUUUUGGAUCCUUACCAAGGCAGUGAUGGUAUAUGCCUUCUCUCAAGAUAUGUAGUAUUUGUGGUAUGAAGCAUAGUGACAUUGUCUUCUCUCUCACCCUACUCUAAUAAGGCUUUAAUAUCUGGAGCUCAAAGGUGAGAGAUAAAGUAUACAUACUUACAAGACAUUUAUUGCAUAGUCAAACCAUGGAUCCAAAGAAACAAAUCAAUAAGCCAAAUCAAGAUGUGCAUGUGUGGCGAAUGAAUGGUGUAUGGUGAUGAUGGUGAUAACAAUGGUGAAAGUCUAAUUCUACUUUUGCUCUUUUGAGGGGAUACAUACCUUUCUUGCACUUUGAAGCUUUUUGAGGAUAAUGAGAUGCUCUAUAUUUUCUUUUUCUUUCCUCUCAGGUGGGUAUCUUGUACCCCUAAUUCUACUGUCGGACACUUGUCCAUUUUUACCUUUCGUCUCACUUUUUUUCUUUUUCUUCGAGGUUUCGGGCACUUGCCCCUUUUUAUUUCCUCGUAUUCAUUUUUUUUCUCUCUCUCUCUUUUUUUUUAGAGCACUCAUCUCCUGAAAUAAUGUAGCAAGUGGUAGUAACUAAAAUAACUGGAGCAUUUAUUUCACAGGGAAUAACAGGGAUAGGAAAAUGUUUUUGGCUAUUCUCUCCCGGAUUAGGAGUAGAAUACUUUUGGGUGGUUUUGGAGAUGGAAAUGAAUGGAUAGUACUUCGGAGUAGAAGUAGCAUGUAUGAGUGAACGUGCAAGUGAAUCUUGAUUUAACCACAUGACAAGCUCCUAAGGGUCUACACAGCUUGACCACACUCAAUGCUCAUAAGCAGUAAAAAGUAAAUAUGUGGCUCAAGGUCUAGCAAGCAUGUAAAUAUGGAUGUGGUAGGAAUUUAAACUCUCAUCAUAGAGGAACUCAUCAUGCAACAUUUUAAAGAUUUUCAAAGAUAAAAUUCUCCAGAAUUCUAGCAUCUCUAGGAACAGAUAAACAGCAGGUCAACCUUCCCAUAUCGUAUCCGUUAACAACUUGGACUUCAGAUCAAGUUUUCAUCCCACAAGUUUAGGUCUAGAGCAAGCCUUAAAUUAUAACAGUUAUAUCUAAACUUGAGAGAGAACUUCAAAUUUGCAAAUUAGGCAGAGCAACUAUUCAUCAUAUCCAUGCUUAAGUUUUAUUAGAUACAGAUUAGCAUAGCCACUUUAUUUAUUUAUUAAACACACUAAGCAAAAUAUAUAUAAGCAUAAAAUCUUUAUUUGGUUUUUCAUAGUUAUGUGUAUUUAUAUUCUAAUAUAGUAUAAGUAUAAAGAUAGAUAGAUAGAAAUACUUAUCGAGAUAAAUGGGGGUGCUCUCCCCCAAGCUGAAUUUUGACGUAAUUUCUCUUGAUGUAGCUAGCAGGUGGUAGAGGUGUUUUUGAAAGUCAGCAGCAUUCUGACAGCGAUUAGAAUGUCCUCCGUCUGCUAGUCUUCUUGAUUCUUAAAUUCUGUGGAGCUCAAAUAGACAACAAAGCUUGUGGAACUGAUUAAGUGUUAGCAUAAAUAUCUAGCCUUUAUCAUCUUGAGACUCCUUAAUAAUUAUUACUCCCUAUUUUUUAUAUUUUCAUUUUAUAAAGCAGAAAAAUAUUUAUUUUAUUUUUAUGCCACCACAGUGAAUGUACUUAUGGGUUUUAUGCCACUCGUAUACUCACAUGGGGCUUACUGUUUUUCACAUUUUUAUUUUCUUUUAUUUUUAAGAUAGUAUGAAUAUGAUUAACUAAGUAAACUAUUUAAAAUAAUUGAAAGGGAAAGGAUAACUACCAAGUUUACCUCUUGGCAAGGCGUUCGGUAUUUUUAAGUCCUCAGAACGGGACUCUCCGUUUUCUUAGUCGUCCUGGGAUUUGCUGGGUGGCGUAGUCGGUGGUUCCGGCGGCACCUCCUCUUCGUGUAUAACUAUUUUCUCUUUCCACACCUGACUCGGUGCUACGGUCUCCUCAGGACAGUUCUGUUCAAGUUGUAUGUCUUCAGUCCUUAUCACUUCUCCUUCGUAGUCUACCCAUCCGUCCGAUUUGCCUCCUCUGGUUGCGGUUUGUCUUCUUCUUGUCCUGACCUGCUUAGAAUCUUCAACUAUAUAGUUAGAAUCAUUAAAGUAGUGGCGUACCUUCUCAGAGGGGAAGUGCAUGUGGACUUCUCCGGUUCCAAUAUAGAUAAUGGCUUUGAUAGUGCUGAGGAACGGUCUUCCAAGGAUGGUGGAUGGAUCAUACUCGUCUUCUCCCAUGUCAAUGACCUGAAAGUUGUUUGAAGCUGAAUGUAUCUUGGUUGUAGGGGCAUGGUUCUAUGCAGGAGCUGAUAAGUGACUGCGGCCAUUAUGUUGUCGUCAGAUCCAGUGUCGUAGAGUGUCUUCUAAAAAGAGUAUCCAUUGUUUGUGCAUUCGAUUCUUGGAACACCAGGGUCAUCCUUCUUGAUCAAGAAAGGUGACUUGAGUCGACGAUCUUGACCUCCUUGAGCUGCAGUGACCAUCUUAGCUGACUCGGUCCACAUUUGCUUGUUCCUGUUCCUCCUGUUGGUCCUCUUCCUUAGUUUAUGUCGGGAUUGCUCUGAAGCUUGUGUAGUCUUGUUCUUGAAGGAAAGUCUCCUUCUUCCCCUUGAUGUAGAGACUGAUCUUGGCAGCAUUAGCGUAGAUGACAGCUCUGGCGUUUAGGAAUGGCCUCCCUAAGAUGAUGGGUGCCCUCUCCUAAGUACCAAUCUCUAUCACCACGAAGUUUGCUGGAGCGUACAAGGUACCAACUCGGACACAGAGGUUCUUCAAUAUUUCCUUUGGGAAACUAAGUGUCUGAUCUCCAUUGUGUUUGUGCUCGUAGAUCCCGGUUCUUUACUUGAUGGAAUCUGGUAGUUGUAAAACGCCUUCAUGUUUCUCAAAAUGUGUCCUGCUCAUAGAGACAAGGCAGAGAUCAAGUGCAUGGGCUCUGUUGGUGGAAAACACCAACAGAACCAAAAGUGUAUUUGUUCUUCUCUAACCUUAAGCAUAGUGAGUAAGACAAAGUUGAUGGAUCAUGAGUGUAGCAUUUAAAACAUGUGUUAGAUCAGAUGGCUCAACCUAAUGGAAAGAUAAUCUAUCUAUUUUUAUGUUUUGUUUAUAUCUUCCAAAGAUUGAAUGUGUAAUACUUUAGCUUAUAUGAUUAGGAGUGUGGGAUCACGAAGGUAGUACUAAGAACAAAGAUUAAAGGACUAAACAUGUUGAAUUAAUUGGGUUGAUUAAUUUGGAGCUACAAAUCAUACAUGUUUGUCUCUUUAUUUUAUAUGAACGCUAGAACCAAGGAGAAGCUUAUAAAAGUGAUAGUCAAGUACCUUAAAAUGUUACCUUACUUGAAGAGUGACGGUACAGUAUCACCUUGUGGAAGCUUUCCUUGCAUCGUGUUUGUGGCACCCUCCAUGGAUCAUCUCUUUAUGAUGAAUGAGCUAUGUCCUUCUUGUGCAAAUUGUUAAACUUCAUAUGUCUCCUUUAUCUCCAAUGAGUUUGUAUCUCAGGACUUCCCAGGUUGAUAUUGAAAGUUUUCCUGCAGGGGUUAGUCCAACAAAAUAUCCCAUAUCUACUAUAGCAUACUAUCGGCUCAAAAAUCAACCUAGACACCAUGUCUAAUUUGAUUUAGGAGGGCAUUUUAACCUAAGCACCAUGCUUAAUUUAAAAAUCCUUUGGAAGUAAGAUCAUCAUUCCUAAACUAAGCACCAUGCUUGAUUUAAGAGAUAAAUGAAACUACUCCAAACCUAGACAUAUACUAAAGCAAAUAAAGGUAGCAUGAGAGCAUUUAUAGCGAUCUACUCAAAUGGAGGUGAAGUAGUGUAAUUAGUACUUAACAAAUUGAGCAUGUCUCAAAGGUAAGGACAACCAACAUAGCAACAUGGCAAAUGAUGUUUUUAUGUAAAGUACUCCCCCAAGCUUGAAUUUUGCAAAAUUCAAGAUUGGAUGAAUUUAAUUCAAUGUUGCAUGAUGAUUGGUUGGACAUACCUUGUGCUUGUCAUUCAUCCGAUCUUCUUGCUCCAAUCUUGGAAAGGUUAGUGACAAGAAUACCCGAAGGAAUAUUUCUACAAUUAUCUCAAUAUGCUCAAUACACAAGGCAAUGUUGCAAAUAAUUAGAAGUUCAUGUUACGAUAUGAUAAGUGCUUGUUUAAGGACGCUAAGCUUAUCCUUGGGAAACCAUCAAGUUAUGUUGGUGAAGUGGUUUCCCCUCCAACACCAACCUAUAUCAAGAUCAACUCAACGAGAUCUGCAAUAUUUAUUAUAGACAUAUGCAUCGACAACCGCUCUUUUAAAGUUGUUAUAAAUAGAAAGGAAGAGAGGGUUGGAGAUCUCAAAUGUGGUAAGGAUGGAGAGACCAAUUGAUUGGGGAGAUGUUUUAUAUGAGCAAGGACUUCGUAAGGUAUUUAUGAAAUAACUUCCAUGCUCACUGUUGUUUCUCUCAUUCUCAAACUCCAAGGAUGAUUCUUCAUGAAUGCUUAAAAUUCCUCUAGGAUUGUCUCUCAAGUUUGUUUUAUCUAUCCAUUCAAUGGUGAUAGCACAUGGAUUUUUAAUGCCCUCUAGCCAUUGAUGUUGCUCUUCUUGAUCCUCCUUCUUAUGCAUGGGAUGUCUAGAGAGAUUCAUAGGAUUAUCGGAAGGUUUAAGAGAAAGAGCAUAGUAGAAUUUAUUAAGCUCAAGGAAGGUGUGGAUAGCCGAAUUAUGGGUUUGAAAUGUUUGGAAAUCGGCUAUUGAAACUUCCUUUCCUCGUCUGGGAGAUGAUUCCUUCUCUAUCUCUAAGAUUUUUCUAUGAAGACUAGUACAAGAAGGAUGCCCACGAAUGAAGACAUACCUUCCUUUACUAAUAGAUAAAGAAAGAAGGACUCUACCAAAGGUUAUAUGAUUAAGACCAAUGUGAAAAUAUCGAGAAAAAACAUGGUCUUGUAGGGCUAGGUCUAAACCAGAAUUUAUAGAAAGAUUAAAAGAUUCCCUAGGUGUAGCUAAAAGUGCAUUAUCUUCUUGAUUAAAAGAUAGGACCUCGGCUAUAGAAAAGGGUUGGUUUUGACCUAUUGCAAUCAACUCCGGACACAGAUCAUAAUUAGGGGCAGGACGUGUUGACUCCCAUGGUCUAUGGCUGGUCUCUGAAGGUGCAAAGAAUUUAAUAAUAGGUAUGGAAUUUGAGUUAUCCAUAAAGAUAAAAAUAAAAAUAUAAAAGAAUAAAAGUAUAAAAGUAUAAUACAAGAUAAUAGCAAGACUCAAAGUUAUCUCAGCAAACCGUCUUUCUCCCCGGCAACGGCGCCAGAAAUGCUUGUUGAUAUUUGGUAACGCAAUAAGGAAAUGAUCCACAAGCGCACGGAUAUCGGUGAGCAUUUCACCCGGGAGAUUAUCCAGAGUUAUCGUAUUUAUAUUUUUACCACUGGGAGAAAGGGUGCAUCUGACUAACCAAAUCUAUUGCUACUAUCCCUUUAGGCUACAAAGAAUGUCUCUCGAUGUGAGUGAUGUAUAGAGAAGACUGCAACCUUAGUCUCAUUCUAACCUUGGUAAGGAUGAUCUACUGUUCUAUUGGGGAGGCUCACAGAAUCUAGACAACACAAAGGAUGUUCGACCCGCACCUAUAACCCUACCCGUCCUGCUAACGAGAUGUGAUCUGCAAAGGUAACUCGGAAUUGUCACGUUCCUCGCUACUACCACGGUCCAGCUAGUCAGGGGAUAUCUAUGAGUACCCUAGCCUAAACACCACGUUUACGCUAACAAGUGAUUACUCUAAUACUCAACCGGAAGAGGAUUAAAGUAAACUCAUAAACCAAAGAACAAUAAAACAAGAACUUACUAGUAUUAGAAGUCGAAUUACUGAAGAAUCUUAGAAGCAAGCCUCGGGUUAGGAGACUUGAUCCCGUAGGUACAACUCGGAGUAGACACCGACAGGCCGGCCUUCCUCCGAUCCAUACCUCCACUCUAUCUCUCUCAAUCUAGUAGAAACUAGAAGAUCUAUUUCUACUUUACAUUGGUUGCUAAGCCUAAAAAGAAAUAUUAUUUAGAGAAGAGGUUUUCCUUCGAGGGCACCCCUCAAUCUCUAUGAUAAUUUCUUGUCUCCUCCAGGGGCCAGAGGGGGUCUCCUUAUAUAGUCCUCCCCUUCUAUGCGUUUUUGGGUCGAUAGGCGAGGUGGUACUAUGUUAUUCUGGAUCCAAUAGGUCGGUGGAACGUCGUGUGCGAAGAGAGUCCGGAACGGGGUCCAGAGGUGGGCGGGCGCCCUGGGCCUGGCCCCUUUCGGGCUCCGCUUCCUUCCCGUGGCUUCUGGAGUCUUCUAGAUGGUAGAAAAUUGCGCGGUGGGUUGAUAUCUCUAUGUAAUCCCGACAUGUGGGCCUUUCUUCCUUAUUUCCUGAUAACCCCCUGCAGAAAUAGACAAACACCAAAACUCGUGGAAUUCUGUCAGAUAAAACCCUAAGUCUAGAUGUUGAUUUCAUUUGGAUCCUUUUCUUUGUUUAUUUGAUAAUUAAAUUUGAUACUUAAGGACCGUCAACAACACCACAAAUUUUUAAUUCAUGUGACCUCUCUCAUGAACAUAGGAAACUAACCCUAAGUGGAGAAGGAAAAAUGAGAGUGGAGAGAGGGGUAAAGGAGAUGGGGGACUCCCCCUUCUUAUUUAUCAGUCAUAUUACUUAUUCCCUAUUUGUUCCUGAAUAUUUUAGAAUGAACAGCUAGACACAGGGGCAUUCUAGUCCAACUCAACAUAACCUAGAUCUAAUGGCCACUGUGGCCUUCGUGAGGUAGCUUAGCCUUGACGCCAACUCCUUAAUACCGCCACAUGUUGUUUGUUGCUCAGAACCACCGCCCAGGUUUUGAGGCCUAAACCCACGAAACCCGCCAUGAGUAGCAUACUCCAUAUGCUUCCCACGCCACUCGACACGUGUCAUCGCCGUCCUCGACUAGCCAACUUGCCAAGUCCAACUGAGCCUCGCUUGACUCGCACGUCCGCCGUCUUGACUUGGUCAACAUGGUCACUCCUAUAUACACUUGCACUUGUCGAUGCCUCAGGUGUCAGCCACCGCGGCUAGCCGGUCUAAUCAGUCUAAGCCUCACGUCUAUCCUUCACCGCUCUAGGUCCAUUGGCACAACACGUCUCUACUUGAUCUUCUCGCCGUCGACCACCACCUCUAAGCUCCACACUUGCACACCAAAAGUCAAGAGACAUGUCGCACGACCCAACUCAUGCCAAUGGUUAGUCACUAACUCAACCUAGGUCGUGGAUCACGUUGAUAAUCACUCAUCACAAAUUGGACCACAAGGGCACAUUUCAACCUUGUGUUUGCAAUCUCCCCCUUGAUGAGUGCAUUGUCAACACCAACACACGAACAACAUGAGCAAAAGAAAGAGAAGAAAAAGAAGAAGAAAAAAGAACAAGAAAGAAGAACUCACCUAAAUGACAAAAAGCUGGAGAAAAGCCAAAACAUGGUCAUUUGAAGUGAGUCAUACUUGGCAAAACUUGGUCCCCACAUGGGCAACAACUUGACACAACCAAGUAAAACACAACUAUAACCCUUAAGAAGAGGCAAAUAGGCUUAACACCACUAGCAAAGCAACUCAAAAUGCAAUGCAACUCCCUUAAACAAAUGCAAUCUCUCUCAAAUAAAUGAAUGUCUCUCUUUUUAUGUGUAAUUUUCUCCCUCUUGUUGACACAUGCACUUAUCAGGAUUUUCCUAAGGAGUGCAACUCCCCUCAAAAUAUGCUAUGAAUGCAAGGAAUUUAGAAAUGUUGAAGCUUUAGGAGUAUAGCAAUUAGAUUGAAAAGAUGCUCUAGGUGGUGUUGUCAUGUGUGUAUAGCAAUAAGUCUAAGUUCUAGCAAAUCCUCAAACUGAUCGUGUAGCAGUGCAUGUGAAACGAAAUAUGGCAUUUAAGCAUUUUUGAUCAAUUUUAAGCAAUGUAAGAAGGAGUUCACAACUAAAAAUAGCACUUAGCAGGUAUAAGCAGGAAAUAAACCUAGUGCUAACAAGUGUAUACAAGGUGAACUACCCCAAGCAGCGUUCAUACAUCAUGUCAAACACUAAAUUUAGACUUGUGUUUUCAUCAAGUUUUCAUUUUAUUGAAGUUUGCAACAUAUCACAAGGUUUAUUCAAAAACAUGUGUGAGUGUGAGAGGUUAUCUGUACCAUCAAACCAACUUAUCAACCAUGCCAAGCCUAUAUAAGAGACAAUCGCAAGCUUAAGACAAUGAUCUCAGCAUCAACUACAAGGCUCAAGUUUAUCCAUAAGUGCAAUUGGAAGUAGUCUCAAUACCUUGACGUAGGACAGUACAGACCGAUCUCAACACAUCCUACACAUGCGAGUUACCAAUCUUAGCGGUGAACAGAUUUCAAGUUUCAAAGUUGUUAAUCAUGUUCACAAAUUUCAAAAUAUCUUAGCUUAUAACUUGCAUCAAGUGAUCAAAAAGAGCCUAAGCGACAAGCACCAUCAUGUACAUACAAGACAUAUCCCAAAAAGCAUAGUCUCAAUCUAACUGAUAUAACCAUGAAGCUCAAUAUGCUCUAAUGUACAUGAUGAGAUGAAAUGCAAUGCAAUACGAUAUAAAAGAUAAAACAAAAGCUAAACUAAAAGAAAACAAAACUAGAGUACAAAAAAACAAAAGUUCCCCUCAACUAAAAGGGAAAUAAACUCCAAGCUCCCCUAUCAAGCGAGCAAACUGGGCUUGGUCAAGGGGUUUGGUAAAGAAGUCUGCAAGCUAGUUUUGGGUACAUGGUGUAGGUCAAUAUCACCUUUCUCAUAGUGGUCACACAAGAAGUGCAAGUGGAUAUCUAUAUGCUUUAUUUUUGAGUGGAGGACUGGGUUUUUAGCAAUGCUUAUGGCACUAGUGCUAUCAUAAAGCAAAGGCACUCACCUAAAUUCUAACCCAAAGUCUCUCAAAGUAGCUAUCAUCCAAAGCAACUGUGAGCAACAAGCAGUAGCAUCAACAUACUCAGCUUCUGUGGUGGAUUGAGCAAUUGAGGACUUCUUGUAAGAGAACUAAGACAUAAGAGAAGUCCCAAGAAACUGGCAAGUCCCCGACGUGGACUUGCGCUCAACACGACAGCCGGCAUAAUCUGAUUGGAAUAGUUGCAAAGAGAAAGAGAGAAGAAAGCUGAAAACCAAAGACCAAACUUAGGUGUGAAAUGGAGGUACCUCAAGAUCCACUUGACGAUAUGAUGUGCACGGUGAAGACUAAAAGCGUGCGCACAAGGAGACAACAAACUGGAUGCUCUGUCUUAUCAUUGUCAGGUACAGCAACUCGAUCAUGCUUCAAUACUCCUUCUAGUCCAUAGCUUCUCCUUCCUCAUCCACAUCCAAAGCCACCGUGGUCGACAUGGGUGUCGAGAGAGGCUUGGCGUUGCCCAUAUCGAAUUUCUUGAGUACGUCCUUGGUGUAGUUGCCUUGGUGCACAAAUGUCCCUUCUUGAGUUUGUUUGAUUUGCAAACCAAGGAAGAACUUCAACUCGCCCAUCAUGCUCAUCUUAAACUUCCUGCUCAUAGUUUCUGCAAACUUGCCAACAAGUGUAUGAGAAGAGCCAUUGAAAGUGAUAUCAUCCACAUAUAUCUAAACCAAAAGAGUGUCAGUGCCUUGCUAGAGGAGAAAUGAAGUUUUAUUAAUAGAACCCAUCUUAAAACCAUUUGCGAGUAAGAAGGCUUUUAGACGCUCAUACUAGGCUCUCGGGGCUUGUUUUAGACCAUACAAGGCUUUGUGGAGUUUAUAGACAUGGUUAGGAAAUUUAGGAUUUUCAAAGCCAGUGGGUUGCCUCACAUAGACCUCUUCCUCUAUAUACCCAUUCAAGAAAGCACUUUUCACAUCCAUCUGAUACAACUUGAGCCCUUUUGAAGCUGCAAAGGCUAAAAGGAUCCUAAUAGCUUCCAUACGGGCAAUAGGGGCAAAGGUUUCCUCAUAGUCUAUACCUUCUUUCUGAAAAAACCCUAAGUCACCAACCUAACCUUGUUCCUCACUACCACCCCAUCUUCACUCUAUUUGCUCUUAAAACCCCACUUGGUACCUAUGGGAUGGCAAUCUGGUGGAGGUGGUUCUAAAACCCAAACUUGGUUUCUCUCAAAGUUCUCUAACUCCUCAUGCAUAGCAAUGACCCAAUCAGAAUUAGAUAGUGUGUGUCCAACAUCUCAAGGCUCAAAAGAAGCAACAAAAGCAGAAUGAGAAAAGUGUGAGAUGUGAUAUGACCUGGACCGCAUGAUUCACUGGUUGAUUUCACCAAUUAUAUUUUGAGGUCGUUGGUGAAGUUGAAUGUGUCGAGGUGCUUCCCUUGAAGAAGUUGCCUCCCCCUCAACUGUAGCUGGGACCUCCUCAGGAACAGCCGGUGUUGGAAGAGGAGGUUUGAAAGGUCCUAAUAUGGCUAGAGGGGGGUGAAUAGCCUAUUUAAAAAUUCUACAAACUCACUAGAGCAAGAGGUUAGUAAAUAACAAAGCAAACCUUUUUGCUCUAGCUCUAAUGGGGUGUUUGCAAGCCACCUAUCCAACAAUUCUAGUUGAUAUAAUCACUAGGAACACAAGAGCUAAGUCACUACUUACACUAGAAAGCUACCUAAAGUUUCUAUACAAGUAAGUAAGCUACUCUAGUUUGCGGGAAUGUAAAAGAGAUGGUUUUAACUUUAUACCGCCGCGUAGAGGGGAUGAACCAAUCAAUAAUAUGAAGUCCAAUCACGGGAGAAAUCCAAUGAACAAUCACAAUGGAGACACACAAUUUUUCUCCCGAGGUUCACGUGCUUGCCGGCACGCUACGUCCCCGUUGUGUCGACCAACACUUGGUGGUUCGGUGGCUAAGAGGUGUAGCACGAACCUCGUCCUCACUAGGACACCACAAGAACCUACCCACAAGUGAGGUAGCUCAAUGACACGAGCAAUCCACUAAUGUUGCCUUUGGCUCUCCGCCGAGGUAGGCACAAACCUCUCACAAUCGCCGGGAGAUGGCCACGAACAAUCACCAACUCGUGCCAAUCCUCCUCCGCUGCUCCAAGCCGUCUAGGUGGCGGCAACCACCAAGAGUAACAAGAAAACCGCAGCUAGAACGAUCCCUAAGUGCCACUAGAUGCAAUCACUCAAGCAAAUGCACUUGGAAUCACUCCCAAUCUCACAAAGAUAUUUAAUCUAUGAAGGAGAUGAGUGGGAGGUGUUUGCUUAGGCUCACAAGGAUGUUAUGUAUGCUAGAAUGCCAAGAGUGUAAGCCCCAAGCCGGCCAAACACGUAUUUAUAAGCCCCUCAAGCAAAUAGAGCCGUUGGCUCUUUCACUGGGCAAACUGCGGGGUCACCGGACGCUCUCAAAGGAGCACCGGACGCUCAACACCAGCGUCCGGUGCUCCAACGUCAGCCACGUGUCGCCUUUUGAAAAACUCGUGUCAGAGUCUAACGGUCACCUGCAGUGCACCGGACGCUGAGCAGGUGCUCACCAGACUCAUGCGCAGAGAGUUCUGCAAACCUGCGGGUCAUCGGACGCAAGCCACCGGACGCACCGUGAGCGUCCGGUGCUCACCGGACUCACACCCAGAGAGGUUUGCAAAACACGCGGACACCGGACUCAGACCACCGGACGCUCUAGCUUGCGUCCAGUGCCUAGCGUCCGGUGCCUAACCCUAGCUGAGCUAGGCAGCCUGCACACCGGAAGCUCAGGCACAGCGUCCGGUGCCUCUGAGCCAGCGUCCGAUGAGUGUUCCUCAGCGAGAAACACUCCCGCGACUUCUCCAAAAAAAAUUCCCACCGGCGCAAUAAAAAAUAUGCACUUUAUUUUCUCAAAAGCGCCGAAUCCCGCCUCGCAAGAUCAGCGGGAGGGAGAGAGGAACCCAUCCUCUCUCUAACCUUCAAACUCCACCUCCUUCUCAAAGCGUGCCAACACCACAAAGUGUAAACCAACAUGUGCACGUGUGUUAGCAAUUUCACAAACAUUUUCUUCGAAGGAGUUAAGUUAGCUUACUAGGUUCUAAAUGCAUGCACAUGAACAAUAACACCUAGUGGCACUUGAUAACCGCUUAGCCAAAGAAUUCCCCCCUUUAUAGUACGGCUAUCUAUCCUAAAUGUGAUCACACCCUCUAUGGUGUCUUGAUCACCAAAACCAAAACCCUAAGCAAUACCUUUGCCUUGAUCUCCAUAGGGUUUUGUUUUUUUCUUUCUUCUUUUCCAAGUUGAGCACUUGAUCAUCUUGUGGUCAUCACCAUGACCAUCUCUUGCUCCAUCACUUGGCAUGUUCCAACCUCAUUAAGUCUACACACACUUAGCAUAGAGGUUAGUACUAGGGUUUCAUCAAUUAUCCAAAACCAAACUAGGGCUUUCAAGGUUGCUCAAAUAGACCCCAAGUAGUGGAAGAAGAAGGAUCGGAGCCAUCAGCCGAAGUAGUCGUCGAAGACUCGAGAGGGGCAGGCGAUGGUGUCAGCUUGUGAUCACCCCAAUUAGCAUCUUCCACAUCAUCCUCGUCAAAGAUGCCCUCACCAAUCUCCUGAUCACCUGCACUUUCAAAGACAGGAGAAGAAUAAGGCAUGAUCUCAUUGAAUGUGACCUCAUAGGUCUCCAUGACUCAGUUAGUUUCAAGGUUAAGUACACGAUAUGAAUGUGAGUGAGAAGCAUAAUCUAGAAAAACACUGUCGGAGGACCUAGACUCAAAUUUGUCCAAAUUACCUUGCUUUAGGAUGAAACACUUGCAACCAAACACCCUAAAAUGGUUUACCUGGGGCAGACGUCCAAAACACAACUCAUAUGAAGUUUUCUUCAAGAAGGCUCAAAGGAAAAUACGAUUUGAAACAUGACAAGCAAUGUUGAUCGCUUCGGCCCAAAAUCUCCUAGGAGUCCUAUGCUCAUCGAGUAUCAUCCUGGCCAUCUCAACAAGGGUCUGAUUUUUGCACUCAACAACACCAUUUUGCUGGGGAAUAUAAGGAAAGGAAAACUAGUGCUCGAGACCUAAAGAAACAUAGAAGAUAUCAAACUAAGUGUUUUUCAUUCUAUGCCAUUGUCACUGCAUAUAGCUCUCAUGGCAUUCUUAGGCAACUUAGUCCGUAACCAAAGAAUCAAGUCUCAAACAUGAAAAAACACCUCAUCCUUACCCUCCAUGAAAAACAUCCAAGAGUAGCAAGAAAAGUCAUCCAUGAUCACUAUUGAUGGUAGUUAACUCCUAUAUUUAACUGUCAACAUAACUUUUAUAACUGCAAAGUGAUGCUCACCAACAUAGGUUUAGAGGUUUGAACUAACAAAUUCCACGAGUUUUGGUGCAUAUAUGUUUUGUAGGGGUUACACAGGAAAAGAGCUAAAGGUAAACUAAUCAUUGAAUAAAAGUACCUCAAAUGAUGAAGUGGAUUGCAGCAUUACAACGUGCUCAUUGAGACGAUCGAAAUCCAUAUAUCAUUUGCCCUAUUUGGAGCCUUGGAUGAAGGAAUAUGAAUUUCAUAAGAAAAUACACUUUUAUGGUGUCUAGAAGGUUCGAGAAGACACCAGAACGAACGGCAAGGCAAAUGGCCACAAGGGAUGGGCGCCCGCCCCACCCCCUUGGGCGGCCGCUCAGCCACAGCAGCCAAUCAGGCUCUGACUCGUGGAUUCCUGAUCCACCACCUUUGAGGAUUAAUCUUAAGCUCACGUUUAAGUCAGUUUGAUCCAAGGGCUGUGGUGCUUCCUAGGGGGCUAUAAAUAAAGACCCUGACCCCCUGGAGGAGAAUCAUUAUGAGUUGUAGAGGCAUCCCUCGAAUGGAUGACCUCUCUUCUCUAGAGAAUAAGGGCUAUACAUUCCAAUGUAGUAGAUUAGUUCUAGUCGUGAGUUACGGGAGUGGAGCUACGCUCCGGUUCUAGAGGAGUCUUCUAUAGAGUUUUGGUAUUUCUUCAUAUCUUUUCUUUGUAAGACUUAUGCUUUAAUAUACUAUCUUCUCUAUUUACUUUAUGCUUAUUUAUGAUUAGUGUAGUUGUUAUAUCUUGGCAUGGGAUCUUUGUUCGUAUUGAGUGCUCUAGUUAUUCAUGGUAAUUAGAGUAGUAAACGAUAGUGUAGACAUGGUGUCUAGGCUAUAGUUUACCUGAGGUUGCGCUCAAUCCCACGGAUAGUUGUGGUAGCCCUAGGGGUGAUAGCCCUAUCAGGCCUUUGUAAUCCACCACGUUCAGAUUGAUGUUUCGUAGAGCUUUUGGCAGCCUUCCCCCGACUACUUUCUUCCUAGCCUUCUUCGAGAGUCGGAAAGGACCUGCUGCUCCAAAGUGCCAUUGUGUGACUGCUAUAUCUUUUCAUAGUAUGUUAUCUUAGAACCUAAGUAAUAGAGAAGUACAAAGGAACUUUGAUCUUUCCCACUGUCCUCCCACUAUAACUAUCUAUACAUUAAUCAUUGAAUUCUCUUAUAUAUGCUUAAUUGAUUUAUCUUAUAGUAUAUCUUUUACCCCUGCUUUAGUUUAGUUGAUACUCUAAGUUAGUAGAUACAGGAUAGUGAAUUAUUAGAUUCUUAACCCUGCUUCCCUGUGGUAAAAUAUAAAUAACGAUACCUUGAAUACUCUCGGUAAAAUGCUACGAUGAUGUUCUGUGCGCUUGCGGAAUCUUUCAUAUUUCUUUUUGCACUAAUGAAUAUCAUUAAGCAUUUCUGGUGUUGUUGCUGGGGAUUAGGCUUUUUGUCUAUCUUUGGUGAUUGUGUUAAGAAAUGCCAACAAGCAUUUUUGGUUCCGUUGCCGGGGAAGCAAUUGACGUAAAGAUUCUGAUAAUGACUUGAUGUCUGCUAAUUUAGUGUACAACUAGCUUUAGUAGGAUUACCCCUUUGUUCUUUUGAGUGUGGAAUAGACAGGACAUUAGAUGUUGCUUCAACCUUGCAACAAGAUUCCACAAGAUUAAAGAACCCAGGGUGCUUGAACAUUCAAGAUCCAUCAUUCUAGAACUUGCCAUCUCACAGGUUUGUGUAUACACAUAUAUAUUAUUUAUUCUAACCAUGUGUAGAUUGGAGAAAAGGUAGUCAUUACAAGAAUGCAACCCCCAUCACAUGUGAUGCAUAUUUACGCUACGCUACUCAUCCUAGUUGUGCAUUAAGGUAAGUGUGAUCAAGGUGAGAUAGUCUUACUCAUGGGCUUUAAACCUUAUGAGUAGUUAUAUUUUUAUUUCCUUGCAUACACUACAUGUUUAGUUUGAAUCAUCCAUGCAUCCACUUCAUUUAGUUUUCUCAUCCACAUCAUGUUUAGUUCCUUGCAUGCAUACACUUCAUCUGCAUCUAAAAAUAUAAUAAUAUUUCUCACUACGAUCAUACUCUAUCAUCACUAUUUUUUAGAAUUUUAGGGACUUUGCCCCCGUCUAAUAACUUGAUGACAAUAGACAAGUCACACUUACAGCUCAGCAGGUAAGCCACUAGAACAAUUUAGAACCUAAAACUCUUCCACAAAAACUUCUCAACAGUCCUGAGAAAAACUAGAAAAGAACAAAACUGAAGGUCACCCAGCAACAGCAAGACUCCAACUUGAGCUAUCCAACGUCGCAGAUUUUUCCAGGUAGCAACAUGGGAAGGAUGAAUGGCGUCAAGGUUGCCAGUCUCCCACCAAGAAGGAUCUGGUCAUUUCCACGGAAUUCAGAGCACUUGAGAAGCUUCUUUCCUGAAUUGCGCCACCACAUUCAGCAAGACGUCCUUCUUCUCCGCUGGGCACAGGAUGACCCAGUUUUGUAGCAUCAACACCAUGCUGUGUAUAAGCAUAGCCAUGCUCUUCCACAUUUUCCUCUGAAAACACAUGUCAUUUCUGAGUUUCCAUAAACUCCAACAAACAGCCGAGGUACACAUAUUAAUGAUACAAUUUCGCUCAUUGCUUAACCAAAACUGACCAAUAUUAUCAAGAGAACCUCCUAACUGAGUACUUAGAAUCCCAGAAACAAUAUGCCACAAUUGCUUGGAUACCACACAAUCGAAAAACAGAUGGUAAAUAGUUUCCUGUUCAUUACAAAAGAGACACGUAGGGUCUUCUAUCUUCCUCCUUUUCAUAAGAUUGUCUAUAGUUAGUAAUUGUUGGGCAUUCUUAACGUCACUACCAAAAGUUGACUUAGUUUUCUAAUUCUGAUAACGGCGCCAAAAAUGGCAAACCUAUCCCUCAUGCCACUUAAGCCAAGUUGUCAUCCCUAGCAUGACAUGAAAGACGCGGUAUUGAAAUAUGCAAUUGCUCUUCUAAAUAAAUAAUAAAUGGGAUCUGCAAGCGCACAGAUUAAUACCGAUGUAGCAUUUUAACCGGGAAGUACUCCAGGUAUCGUUAUUUAUAUUUUUACAACUGGGAAGGGAUUAGUAAUCAUCAAUGUUGAUUAUAGAAUGGAAUAUAAGAUUGAGUAUCUAUCAUUGCAUGUAUAAUUGAGAACAAUUAUCUAUCUCUUACAGGGAUAAAUGUCACAUAAAGGAUAUAUAAGUGAUGAAUAGUGAUAAAGAUAAUUAAUCUGAUCAGCAUAACAUAGCCACAUAUAAAUAUGAUGAGCACCUCAAUUAGAUAUUCUAGCAAGUCAUUAGCAUGGUACUAGGAUGAACUACAAGAAUAUUUCCUAAGUUAUUCUUAACUAUACAGUCUAGCAUAUCAUAGUUAGUGUAAUUAUACUUAGUAAUCGUUGUGAGAUAGGACUACGCCCAUGCAUAGUGAUAUUAUCAAGGAAUAUGAGAAACAUCGCAAUCACUCCCCUGUAAUAAUGUUGCUCUGCCAGCCCAAUACACGAGAGGGGGACUAUAUAAGAAUCAAUGGAGCUGUCACUACCACAAACUACCCCGCGAUCUGGCAUAUAGGGUACAAUCGCAGAUAAAUAUGGUAUAGGCACCACGCCUACACAAUAUCUAUCAUUUACCCAUGGAUCCGAUGGAUAAACGCUAUACGAUCCUGAACAUGUAUAUAAUUCUAAUCUAACUAAGCCAAGUAUAUAACUAUGAUAAACUAAGAACAAUAUAAUUGCGAAUAUAAACAAGUAGAGCAAAGUCAUAAUCAAUAUAUUGAAGUAGAACAAAGUCAUAUUCAUAAUAUCGAAGAACAAAGAUGAACAAUUGAAGAACAAUAGAGAAUUACCAAGAAUCCUCUUGACAGAUCCGGAAUCCAAUCGAAGAUUGACUCCUUCUAGUUCUAAUCCUAUGUAGCUAUGCUAAUCUAGAGAUCUAAUUGAUGUGGUGGCUGGCUUCUUCUCCCUGAUGAAUAAUGAAUUAGGGUUGAGUGGUGCUCUCCUCCAGGGGCCAGGGGGUCUGGUUAUAUAGUCCUUCCAAGUGAAUGUGUGCCGUCGGAUCAAACCGACAUUGAUUAAACGAUUAUCCUUGAUCCUUUAGGUCGGUGGAGCAUGAUCCACGAGAUUGGCCGUGAUUGGUGGAAAGGCCAAGGCGGGUGCCUUGCCCCCGAGCCCGUCCAGUCUCCCAUUCGUUCCUGUGGCUUCUGGAUUCUUCUAGAUGUAAGAUAAUUGCGCGGCACGUUAAUAUCUCUAUGUAAACCCGACGUGUGGGCCUUUCUUCCAUAUUUUCUGAUAACCCCCUGCAGAAAUAGACAAACACCAAAACUCGUAGAAUUCGGUCAGAUAAAACCCUAAGUCUGGAUGUCGAUUGCAUUUGGAUCCUUUUCUUUGUUUAUUUGUUAAUUAAAUUUGAUACUUAAGGACCAUCAACAGUAAUCUACACAAAAAAUACUGAACCCUAGGUGGAAUCUUAAUGCUCCAAAUAGAAGAAACUAAAACAGGUUGAACCCCCCUAAAAUUAAUGAUUCUAUACAGCGAUUGGACACUGUACGUUCCAUUGGAAGAAAACUGCCAUAUCAAAGAAUCCUCAUCAUCACUAAAAGAAAUUGUAGAGGCUAUCUGACAAACCACUUCCCACAAAGCCAUCAUGUGCAAUUCCAUCCCACAAACUAGCUACUAACUUAUUUUUUUCAUUAACAAAUCUAUACAACUUCCAAUACUGAAUAGCAAGGCUAGAAUUACCUAUCCAAUUAUCUUCCCAGAACCUUACUCUCCUACCAUUACCAAUAUUCCAUUUAUAACCCAUCUUUGCAGCUUGCAGAGCCCACAUGAACCCUUUGAAGAAGGGUGAGGCCCCAACAGUUCUAGUUUGGAAAAUAUUGACAUUAUUAGUUUUAUUUUAUAUCUAUAGUCUAACACCUCUUUCCAAAGUUUGCCUUUAUCCUGCUCAUACCUCUUUAUCCAGGAAGCAAGGAGACAAAUAUUUAGAUCUCUCAAGUUGGGCAACCCAAGGCCCCCAAACUCUUUACUAACAGAAACAAGUUCCCAGUUAGCCAGAUGAUACUUAUGUGCUCCCUCUAGAUCAUUCCAAAGACAAUUACUCAUCUGGGUAUUCAGAAUCUUGAUAGCCCACUUAGGGAAUUUGAUGAAGGAUAAAAGGUAAAUUGGAAUGCUAGCCAAACAAGUCUUAACCAACAAAGCUCUAGCAGCCAGAGAUAAGAGCUUACCUCUCCAGCCAGCUAUCCUAAGGAGAAGUUUAUCUACUAAGGGUUGCAGAUCCUCUCUAGAUAGCUUAUCAUAAUGCAAAGGUACUCCCAAAUAUUUCAAUGGAAAAGCCCUAACUAAGUAAUUAAAGAUGCUAGCAAUCUCCCUAGUCUCCUCUGUUUCUAUGUUCAAAGUAAAAAUCUCACUUUUAUGAAAGUUCACCCUCAUGCCUGACAACUGUUCAAACCAAAUUAUAAUAUGUUUGAGGUUCCAAAGAUGAGUGGCAUCAGCACUAGAAAAAAGAAUGGUGUUGUCUGCAUAUUGCAGAGAUAGAAUGCCCCCAUCUCUAAAAUCUUGCAGAACCCCUUUAUCAUCACUAUUGAGUAAAUCUCUAUAAUGCUCUCAUGCUACCUUUGUUUACUAUAAUAUGCGUAGGCUUUUGAAGUCUUUUCAGACACCUUUUUAAAAUUAGGCAAGGUGCUUAGUUUAAAAUGUUGUUCUAACUUAAAUUAGACAAGGUGUCUAGUUUAAUUCUUGGACCAAAAGUUGUGCUGAUCUUACUUCUAAAAGGCUUUUAAAUUAAGCGUGGUGCUUAGGUUAAAAUGCCUUCUUCAAUCAAAUUAGACAUGGUGUCUAGGUUGAUUUUUGAGCUGAUAAUAUGCUAUAGUAGACAUUGGAAUAUUUUUGUUGGACUAACCCCUGCAGGAGAAUCUCAAAUACAAAUUGGGGAAGUCCUGAGAUGAACUCACACUGGAGAUGAAGAGAGACACAAUAAUUGUGCACAAGAGAGACACAACUAACUCGUAGCCAAGAAGAAAGAAGGGUGCCACAAAACAUGAUCCAUGAUCAAAGCACUUACUCCAUGGAGUUGCAUUCUCUUGUCAACCACUAAUUAUCAAGAAUCAAGAAAAGAUUGACAAGAGAAAAUCAUGCAAUGUUUUGCACUCUCACCUCUGAGGUUGAGAAGCGGAGACAUGAGGAAGAAGGUCAACUCCUCUAGAUGAUCCAACCAAGUUCUUCCUCAUCGCUCCAUACACUGGUUUGCAAUCUGUAAAUUCACUAUUGCUUUAUUCCUAUGAGUUUGAGUUGAUUCAUAAUGCCUAUAUUUAAGAAUCAAAACAUAACAUAGGAAAAUAAAAUCAAUCCUUUAGAAAUAAGUAAUUGUGAAUAAUAAAUGUGCUAUGCUAAGUAUGUUAAAACAUCUUCUUUUGUAGCAUAGAAAGUGACCCUUAGCUAUGUGUUACAACAAUGCCCUUGUCAUUAUUUGUAUACUCCUUCGAGUAUGUGUUGUCCACUAAUGAUUUGUAGGGAUAAAAUAAGAAGAAGAGCUAAAGGUCCAAGCACAAAUUAGAUGGAGAGCAAAUAAUGGCAUAAGGUAAGAAAGGAGUACAACCCCGCAAUAAUGUUGCUCUACCUGCCCAAUACACGAGAGGGGGACUAUAUAAGAAUCAAUGGAGUUGUCACUACCACGAACUACCCCGCGAUCUGACAUAUAGGGUACAAUCGCAGAUAAAUACGGUAUAGGCACCACGCCUACAUAAUAUCUAUCAUUUACCCAUGGAUCCGAUGGAUAAACACUAUACGAUCCUAAACAUGUAUAUAAUUCCAAUCUAACUAAGCCAAGUAUAUAACUAUAAUAAACUAAGGACAAUAUAAUUGUGAAUAUAAACAAGUAGAGCAAAGUCAUAAUCAAUAUAUUGAAGUAGAACAAAGUCAUAUUCAUAAUAUCGAAGAACAAAGAUGAACAAUUGAAGAACAAUAGAGAAUUACCAAGAAUCCUCUUGACAGAUCCAGAAACCAAUCGAAGAUUGACUCCUUCUAGUUCUAAUCCUAUGUAGCUAUGCUAAUCUAGAGAUCUAAUUGAUGUGGUGGCUCUAGGGCUUGAUCAGAGGCUUCUUCUCCCUGAUGAAUAAUGAAUUAGGGUUGAGUGGUGCUCUCCUCCAGGGGCCAGGGGGUCUGGUUAUAUAGUCCUUCCAAGUGAAUGUGGGUCGUCGGAUCAAACCGACAUUGAUUGAAUAAUUAUCCUUGAUCCUUUAGGUCGGUGGAGCAUGAUACGCAAGAUUGGCUGUGAUUGGUGGAAAGGCCAAGGCGGGCACCCUAGGGGGGAGGGCGGGCGCCCUGCCCCGAGCCCGUCCGGUCUCCCGUUCGUUCCCGUGGCUUCUGGAGUCUUUUAGAUGUAAGAUAAUUGCGCGGCACGUUAAUAUCUCUAUGUAAACCCGACGUGUGGGCCUUUCUUCCAUAUUUUCUGAUAACCCCCUGCAGAAAUAGACAAUCACCAAAACUCAUGGAAUUCUGUCAGAUAAAACCCUAAGUUUGGAUGUCGAUUGCAUUUGGAUCCUUUUCUUUGUUUAUUUGUUAAUUAAAUUUAAUACUUAAGGACCAUCAACAAACUCCCCCAAGCUUACCUCUUGCUCGUCCCUGAGCAAGGACAAUCUCAGCAAUGGAUCAAAAGUUGCUAUAAUGCCUUUUAAAAAUUGACAGUACACAUGCUUUUAAAUGAGGUCUCAUCUCUGAGUUAGAGUAAACUGUCAAGACUUAAAACUUACUUACUUUACCUUUUACCAUGGAACUUGUAACCGUCACUUCUAUCUUGAGUAGUUAAAAGACAGAACAGUCUAGUCAAGUGCCAUGUCUCUUAUUCUUGAUCAGCUAUAGCUCUAGAGUUUUUGCAGAUUUUCAAAUAAAACUCAGAGAUUCCUUGUAUGACUCUCUCAAAUUUCUCUUGUGGUAUUUCUGGAUCCUUACCAAGGCAGUUAUGGUAUAUGCCUUCUCUCAAAAUAUGUAAUAUUUGUGGUAUAAGGCAUAGUGACAUUGCCUUCUCUCUCUCACCCUACUCUAAUAAGGCUUUAAUAUCUCGAGCUCAUAGGUGGGAGAUAGAUAAUACAUACUUACAAGACAUUUAUUGCAUAGUCAAACCAUGGAUCCAGAAGAAUAAGUCAAUAAGUCAAAUCAAGAUGUGCAUGUGUGGCGAAUGAAUGGUGUAUGGUGAUGAUGGUGAUAACAAUGGUGAAAGUCUAAUUCUACUUUUGCUCUUUUAAGGGGAUACAUACCUUUCUUGCACUUUGAAGCUUUUUGAGGAGAAUGAGAUGCUCUAUAUUUUCUUUUUCUUCUUUUCUCUUAGGUGGGUAUCUUGUACCCCUAAUUCUACUGUCGGACACUUGUCCAUUUUUACCUCUCGUCUCACUUUUUCUUUUCUUCGAGGUUCCGGGCACUUGCCCCUUUUUAUUUCCUCGUAUCUUUUUUUUUCUUUUUUUAGAGCACUCAUCUCCUGAAAUAAUAUAGCAAGUGGCAGUAACCAAGAUAACUUGAGCAUUUAUUUCAUAGGGAAAAACAUAAAUGUUUUUGGCUAUUCUCUCCCGGAUUAGGAGUAGAAUACUUUUGGGUGGCUUUGGAGAUGGAAAUGGGUGGAUAUAUGUGGAUGCGUACUCCCAGAGUAGAAGCGGCAUGUGUGAGUGAAUGUGUAAGUGAAUCUUGAUUUAACCACAUGACAAGCUCCUAAGGGUCUACACAGCUUGACCACACUCAAUGCUCAUAAGCAGUAAAAAAUAAAUGUGUGGCUCAAAGUCUAGCAAGCAUGUAUAUAUGGCUGUGGUAGGAAUUUAAACUCUCAUCAUACAGGAACUCAUCAUGUAUUAUUUUAAAGAUUUUCAAAGGUAAAAUUCUCCAGAAUUCUAGCAUCUCUAGGAAUAGAUAAACAGCAGCUCAACCUUCUCAUAUCAUAUCCGUUAACAACCUAGACUUCAGAUCAAGUUUUAUUCCCACAAGUUUAGGUUUAGAGCAAGCUUUCAAUUAUAACAGUUAUGUCUAAACUUUAGAAAGAACUUCAAAUUUUAAAAAUUAGGCAAAGCAACUAUUCAUCAUAUCCAUGCUAGAGUUUUAUUAUUAAGAUUCAGUUUAGCAUAGCCACUUUAUUUAUUUAUUAAACAAACUAAGCAAAAGAUAUAUAUAUAUAUAAGAAAAUCUUUAUUUGGUUUUUCAUAGUUAUGUAUAUUUAUAUUUUAAUGUAGUAUAAGUAUAAAGAUAGAUAGAAAUACUUAGCGAGAUAAAUGGGGGUGCUCUCCCCUAAGCUGAAUUUUGACGUAAUUUCUUCUGAUGUAGCUAGCAGGUGGCAGAGGUGUAUUUGAAAGUCGGGAGUACCCUGACAACGAUUAGAAUGUCCUCCGUCUGCUAGUCUUCUUGAUCCUUAAAUUCUGUGGAGCUCAAAUAGACAACAAAGUUUUGUGGAACUGAUUAAGUGUUAGCAUAAAUAUCUAGCCUUUAUCAUGUUGAGCCUCCUCAAUAAAUAUUACUCUCUAUUUUUAUAUUUUCAUUUUAUAGAGCAGAAAAAAUAUUUAUUUUAUUUUUAUGCCACCACAGUGAAUGUACUUAUGGGUUUCAUGCCACUCGUAUACUUACAUGGGGCUUACUAUUUUUUAACAUUUUUAUUUUCUUUUUAGGAUAGUAUGAACAUGAUUAACUAAGCAAACUGUUUAAAAUAAUUGAAAGGAAAAGGAUAACUACCAAAUUUACCUCUUGGCAAGGCGUUCGGUGUUUUUAAGUCCUCCGAAUGGGACUCUCCAUUUUCUAGUUGUCUUGGGAUUCGUUGGGUGGCGUAGUCGGUGCUUCCGGCGACGCCUCUUCUUCGUGUAUAGUUAUCUUCUCUUUCCAUACCUGACUCGGUGCUACGGUCUCCUCUGGAUAAUUCUGUUCAAGCUGUAUGUCUUCUGACCUUACUACUUCUCCUUCAUAAUCUGCCCAUCUGUCCUUGAUGAUUUGCCUCUUCUGGUUGCGGUUGCGUCGUCUUCUUCUUGUCCUGACCUGCUUAGAGUCUUCAACGAUAUAAUUAGGGUCAGUAAAACAGCGGCGUACCUUCUCUGAGGGGAAGUGCAUGUGAACUUCUCUAGUUCCAAUGUAGAUGAUUCCUUUAAAGGUGCUGAGGAACGAUCUUCCAAGGAUGAUGGGUGGAUCGUAUUCGUCUUCUCCCAUAUCAAUAACCUAAAAGUCUG